AAACAUCCGGACUAAGUUUAU
This 21-nucleotide microRNA is filed under the name Schmidtea mediterranea. Its description in RNAcentral is "sme-miR-2204-3p". The record is from miRBase by way of RNAcentral. Lineage: Eukaryota; Metazoa; Platyhelminthes; Tricladida; Dugesiidae.